GAUGAACGCUGGCGGCGUGCCUAAUACAUGCAAGUCGAGCGAACGGACGCGAAGCUUGCUUCUCUGAUGUUAGCGGCGGACGGGUGAGUAACACGUGGAUAACCUACCUAUAAGACUGGGAUAACUUCUGGAAACCGUAGCUAAUACUGGAUAAUAUUUUGAACCGCAUGGUUCAAAAGUGAAAGACGGUCUUGCUGUCACUUAUAGAUGGAUCCGCGCUGCAUUAGCUAGUUGGUAAGGUAACGGCUUACCAAGGCAACGAUGCUAAACCGACCUGACAGGGUGAUCGGCCACACGAGAACUGAGACACGGUCCAGACUCCUACGGGAAGCCGCAGUAGGGAAUCUUCCGCGAUGGGCGAAAGCCUAACGGAGCAACGCCGCGUGAGUGAUGAACGUCUUCGGAUCGUGAAACUCUGUUAUUAGGGAAGAACAUAUGUGUAAGUAACUGUGCACAUCUUGACGGUACCUAAUCAGAAAGCCACGGCUAACUACGUG
This 497-nucleotide ribosomal RNA is filed under the name uncultured bacterium. Its description in RNAcentral is "partial 16S ribosomal RNA". It matches the Rfam family "Bacterial small subunit ribosomal RNA", at positions 28 to 507 of the family's 1533-position model. The record is from RNAcentral.